This 301-nucleotide ribosomal RNA is filed under the name uncultured bacterium. Its description in RNAcentral is "partial 16S ribosomal RNA". It matches the Rfam family "Bacterial small subunit ribosomal RNA", at positions 509 to 807 of the family's 1533-position model. The record is from RNAcentral.
CAGCAGCCACGGUAACACGGAGGGUGCAAGCGUUAAUCGGAAUUACUGGGCGUAAAGCGUGCGUAGGUGGUUGUUUAAGUCUGUUGUGAAAGCCCUGGGCUCAACCUGGGAAUUGCAGUGGAUACUGGGCGACUAGAGUGUGGUAGAGGGUAGUGGAAUUCCCGGUGUAGCAGUGAAAUGCGUAGAGAUCGGGAGGAACAUCCAUGGCGAAGGCAGCUACCUGGACCAACACUGACACUGAGGCACGAAAGCGUGGGGAGCAAACAGGAUUAGAUACCCCCGUAGUCCCUGUCUCUUAUAC